CGGACCGCGUACGAGUACGAGAAAGGUUUUCGGAAUUGUAAAGUACGCUUUCGGGUGUGAAGAUAGGAUUGACGGUAACGACCACGAAGAAGACCCCGGGCAAACUUCGUAGCCCAGCGAGCCCGCGGUAAGUACGUAGGGGGCGAAGACGUUGUCCGGAAUUAUUGGGCGUAAAGCGACGCGCAGGCGGUUCUUUAAGUCUGAUGUGAAAGCCCACGGCUCAACCGUGGAGGGUCAGUUGGAAACUGGAGAACUGGAAUGCAGAAGAGGAGAGUGGAAUUCCACGUGUAGCCGGUGAAAUGGCGUAGAUAUGUGGAGGAACACCAGUGGCGAAGGCGGCUACUCUGGUCUGUUAUUGACGCUGAGGCGCGAAAGCGUGGGGAGCAAACAGGAUUAGAUACCCUGGUAGUCCCACGCCGUAAACGAUGAGUGCUAGGUGUUAGGGGUUUCGAUGGCCCUUAGUGCCGAAGCUAACGCCAUUAAGCACCUCCCGCCUGGGGAGUACGGCCGCAAGGCUGAAACUACAAAAGAAUUGACGGGGGCCCGCACAAGCGGUGGAGCU
This 562-nucleotide ribosomal RNA is filed under the name uncultured Marinococcus sp. Its description in RNAcentral is "bacterial SSU rRNA". It matches the Rfam family "Bacterial small subunit ribosomal RNA", at positions 383 to 939 of the family's 1533-position model. Lineage: Bacteria; Bacillati; Bacillota; Bacilli; Caryophanales; Bacillaceae. The record is from RNAcentral.